UUGAGAGUUGAUUAAUUUAAUGGGAACACAAGGUGAUUCAGGCACUCAAACAUUCACACUCUUAAACUUUGUAAAAAACAUUUUAAAGCCAAUUAAAAAAAAUCAGGUGAUGAAUCCUUGAUAAAGCAUACUAAGCUACCAAUCUGAUUUCUUUAAUCAAAAUUCCUUACCAAAUCAUAACUACACAUGUGUGAUCCUAAGUCAUAUUAAAAUCAUUAACAAUCUGCAAAUUGGAUACACCUUUUUCCCUCAACCAUUCUUGAACAUAAACUAUAUCACGGAAUGAAACAAAACUACACGACUUCAUCUUUUAUCACAUGCACAAUAUAAUCUAUUCAAACAUCUAGUUACCAAACUAACAAUUUAAAAUGAUAAAGUCCAUGACAAGCUAAAAGCCAACUCACACAAACUAAAAGAAAACAUACAUGUGACUUACUAACCAAUACAAACUCAAAUUCAAAAAAUGCACUUGAAGAUACAUCACACAAGCAGCGAUCCCAACACUAAUUUCAGCAUUGUACUACAAUCACAGGAACAACUUAUGUUAAGCUAUUAUAAUCUAGUCAUAAAACUGAAAGAAGAAUAAAAUAGAAAUAAAACAAACAAUCACAUUUCUAUUUCAUGUUUUCCAAUUUCGGCUUCAAGUUACACUUCAAGUGACAUCCGUAGAGCUGAAAAAUACCUGAAAAUUGCACAAAAAGGAAGAGAAGUGAGGGACUAACAACACAACAGUAAUCAGCAAACCAGCAGCACCAGUACUAGCGAUUAAACCCAGUAAUUUAACCCAGCAAAAAUCAGUGAAAAAUUAACCCCAAAUAGCUUGAAUUAGAACCACCAACAACAAAACAUCAAUUCAUUUUGAGUAUCAGAAUAAGGGCCUUUAUUUUUUCAGAAAAGAAAUUGAAAUUGUCAAUGUAAGAGUGAAAUUUCUGGAGUUUUUUUGUAUUUGUUCUAGAAUUCUGUAUCAGAUUUAACAGUGUUCAAAAAGCUUCCCUCAAAUGAAAGGAAGAAGGUCUUUAAAUAGACAGAUAU
RNAcentral lists this long non-coding RNA (1032 nucleotides) under Nicotiana benthamiana. Its description in RNAcentral is "long non-coding RNA (NBEN_LNC018990)". Lineage: Eukaryota; Viridiplantae; Streptophyta; Magnoliopsida; Solanales; Solanaceae. The record is from RNAcentral.